UCAGACGAUGCGUCAUGCAUAUCAAUAAGCGGAGGAAAAGAAACUAACAAGGAUUCCCUUAGUAACGGCGAGUGAAGCGGGAAGAGCUCAAAUUUGAAAUCUUCAAGGUUUUACCUUGACGAAUUGUAGUUUAAAGAAGUGUUUUCUGUAGUGGAGUUUGGUAAAAGUUCUUUGGAAUAGGACAUCAUAGAGGGUGAGAAUCCCGUAUUUGGAUCCAUUAUUUCCAGCUGUGUGAUACACUUUCAAAGAGUCGGAUUGUUUGGGAAUGCAGUCCAAAAUGGGUGGUAAAUUUCAUCUAAAGCUAAAUAUUGGCGAGAGACCGAUAGCGAACAAGUACCGGAGGGAAAGAUGAAAAGAACUUUGAAAAGAGAGUUAAACAGUACGUGAAAUUGUCAAAAGGGAGGCGUUUGACACCAGUGUUGUUUUUCCGAAAAUCAAUUAAAAAUGGAUUCAUGCCAAGUUGUAUUGACCUUAUCAGCUUGCAAUUUGGUUUUGGGUUCUUUUUGAUGCACUUUUCGGUUAACAAGUCAACAUCAAUUUCCUUUGCUGUAAAAGGGCAGAAGGAAGGUGGCUUCAAUUUCGGUUGAAGUGUUUAUAGCCUUUUGUCUCUGCAGUCGGGGAGAUUGAGGUCUGCAGCGUAGAUCCUUCGGGGUUAGAUACAUUCGUGCUAAGUUAUAGCCUUUUAUAGACAACUUGUUGACUAUGAUCGGUCAUUGUAAUUUACUCGCGAGUGCUAUUUUACCUACGCUUAGGAUGUUGAUAUGCAUGACUGAUAU
This 776-nucleotide ribosomal RNA is filed under the name uncultured Neocallimastigales. RNAcentral describes it as "partial large subunit ribosomal RNA". It matches the Rfam family "Eukaryotic large subunit ribosomal RNA", at positions 18 to 643 of the family's 3401-position model. The record is from RNAcentral. Lineage: Eukaryota; Fungi; Neocallimastigomycota; Neocallimastigomycetes; Neocallimastigales.